RNAcentral lists this ribosomal RNA (253 nucleotides) under uncultured bacterium. RNAcentral describes it as "partial 16S ribosomal RNA". It matches the Rfam family "Bacterial small subunit ribosomal RNA", at positions 524 to 776 of the family's 1533-position model. The record is from RNAcentral.
UACGGAGGGUGCAAGCGUUAUCCGGAUUUACUGGGUUUAAAGGGUGCGUAGGUGGGUAAGUAAGUCAGUGGUGAAAUCUUCGAGCUUAACUCGGAAACUGCCAUUGAUACUAUUUAUCUUGAAUACUCUGGAGGUAAGCGGAAUAUGUCAUGUAGCGGUGAAAUGCUUAGAUAUGACAUAGAACACCAAUUGCGAAGGCAGCUUACUACAUAGUUAUUGACACUGAGGCACGAAAGCGUGGGGAGCAAACAGG